UACGGAGGGUGCAAGCGUUAUCCGGAUUCACUGGGUUUAAAGGGUGCGUAGGUGGGCAGGUAAGUCAGUGGUGAAAUCUCCGGGCUUAACCCGGAAACUGCCAUUGAUACUAUCUGUCUUGAAUACCGUGGAGGUGAGCGGAAUAUGUCAUGUAGCGGUGAAAUGCUUAGAUAUGACAUAGAACACCAAUUGCGAAGGCAGCUCACUACACGAAUAUUGACACUGAGGCGCGAAAGCGUGGGGAUCAAACAGG
RNAcentral lists this ribosomal RNA (253 nucleotides) under uncultured bacterium. RNAcentral describes it as "partial 16S ribosomal RNA". It matches the Rfam family "Bacterial small subunit ribosomal RNA", at positions 524 to 776 of the family's 1533-position model. The record is from RNAcentral.